Gadus morhua (Atlantic cod) is the source of this 535-nucleotide long non-coding RNA. RefSeq lists it as uncharacterized. The record is from RefSeq and is a predicted model, not a curated record. The transcript has 3 exons. Lineage: Eukaryota; Metazoa; Chordata; Actinopteri; Gadiformes; Gadidae.
CCUGUAGGACCUUCUACACUUCAAAGUGAAUGUAUUUGUAUAUUUAUCCUGAAAUAGGUCCUUAAUAGGCUAUACAUUAUUAGAAGGGGGAUUCUUCACUUGCAUGUGAAAGGGUUAAAUGCAACUAUUCAUUGUUGUCACACUAUGCCAUCAAAACUAACUUUGUGUUUUUUUUCUUCUUCAUUUGCAUAUUUAUGGGACACUGAAGACCAUUCAAAGCUCACGGCAGAAAAGAUGGCACAGGUGUGGAAGGUCGUCGAAUUCAAAGAUAGGAGCACUACCAUAGUGCCAAGCAGCUGGUUGGAGGAGGCAGGGGAGUCAUGGAAUUGUUUCUGGCCUCCUAGUUCUUAUGAUCAUAUCCGCCUCCAGAAGGCAGUCGCGCACCACCUUCCUCCAGGUGCAGCGUGGGACGUGCACGGUGACGUGAGGGUCUUGGUUAGCUGUGCAACAUAUGUUAAGGCAAAGGACUACCUGAAAAAGUCCUUACAGUGCUUAACAUCAGACAAGACCCUAUCAGAAGGAAAAGAAGGUAAAA